Molecule: non-coding RNA, 7279 nt
Organism: Pelodiscus sinensis (Chinese soft-shelled turtle)
Lineage: Eukaryota; Metazoa; Chordata; Testudines; Trionychidae
Source: RefSeq, a predicted model, not a curated record
GGUCACGUUGUGUACACUUGUAAUCAUUUUUGUUGCCCUCCUUUGGACCUUCUCCAAUUUGACCACACCUUUUUGUUAGCGUUGCUAAGUAAGUUUGCAUUUCAGCUGUUUGUGUAGCAUUUGUUCAAGGAUAAAUUCAGAACUUCAUACUUUCACUAAAAUCUUCACUAGAUUUGUUGAAAAAAAAUGAUGUUUUUGAAUUGGUGGUGCACCUUUCCUUGUACAUUUUAAUGGCUUAGGUCCUAAACUAUGCCAAAAGUGUCACAUUCCCACUAAGAGCUAUUUUCUACACUGAAUGCACCAUCCACUCCUCCAUCUUCUCUGUUAGGUGAGUAGAAGCUGCUGAAUCUAUUAGGAUAGCUCCUUCAGCACUGCUUGGCAAGAUAAAUAAGUGGCCCUCACUUGCACCACUUGAAGCUACUGCCAACUCGGGACAAGAAAUUAGAAAUAAAACCCCAUAUCUAAGUUAAGGAAAUGCUGUGUCUUUAUAGAGCAUCUUCCAUUUGAGACUCUCAAAGCGCCUUACAAACUAUUGGAUUAAGUCUCACAUGGGAUAACAAUAAACCCCUGUUCUCAGAUGGACAAAGCAACUUGCAGUAUAUUAUUACACAACACAGUUUCUGAUUCAGGAAUAAACCUUAUUUUCUUGUCUCCCUUCCUCACAUAUUCUUUAACCUCUGCACCGUCUGACCAAGUAUGUUGAGUGACCGAGCCCAAGCACUCGUCCCCCCCGCCCCCUUUACUCAAGACAUUUUAGCUUAUUGGGGACAUUAGCAACAUUCCAAGUUUAACAUAAUGCUCCUGGAUGGAUCAUCAGAUGCAGGGAUCAAAUGCUGAGAACAAUAGAUCUAAGAGAGUAAGUCUGGACUUUCUAAACUGAAAGAUCUAGUCCUGUUAGAGACUGGACCACAUGGUAGUUUGCACUAGGCGAACUAUUUCUCCUAACCAACAAAUCUCAACUUGGGAUUCAACUCAAUUCAUAUUCCAAGGUGCAACACCACUUAUAACUCAGUACUCCAGGUUGGUUAGUGGCAGUGGCAAUUAAACCGAGAAUCUCUGGAUGUAGAAGUUUGAACCUCUGCUUGCCCACGCUAAAAGAGACUUUCCUCACCCAAAGGCUGUAACAGAUUCGCAAACCUCAGUGGCCCACAGGUUAGAGAGCCACACUAAGUGUGGACUGCAUAAGGCUAGGCAUACAGGGAAUUAUGUAAAAACGCUGUGCUUCAAGGAUGAUCUCAAAAGCAAACAUAUCUGCACCACAAGGCUGUCUCCACCACUACGAAGGGUGAAAAAUAGUUGUAUGCCAGCACCUACGUGCAAUGCAGUCCCCUUCAGCAUCACCAGACCUAGCUUAGGAAGGGCAUCAUGCAUAUUUAAUAAAAAAUAAAUCCAGGGCACAUCUUGUACAGUUUCCAGGAUUCAACAGACCUCUAAAAUAGCCACCAAUGCUGUGCAAUUUCCAUUUCCGUUCUGACAGGAUUUAGGAGCUGGACAAUGCAGCAGAGAAUUCUGGCUGAUCCAAUCUGGGUUCUGAAAUGCAGCAUCGCUGUAAUGUAACUUACUCAAAGGUGUGAAAGCAGACUUUGAGCAGCUUUCAUAUAUAUCAAGCUCAGCAAGGACAGGUACCUUUUCCAUAAAAAGGUGGAACCAAAACUCCAACAGCAAUAGGGGCAAAGGCCUAACAAGAGAGGAUUGUUAAACCAAGCUGGUCCCCUACCAAGGAAAGACAAUGGGCUGGUUUCUAUGCUAGUGAGCAGGUUUGUCAGGGGAAGGUUACCUUGGUAACAAAGGCCAGGCAGGGAUCUGUGACUGUCCAGAGCAGGCCAUCAGACAAAGGGGGCUAAAAGUGAUAAGAGGGCAGGAACUGCUUCACUCAAUGACCAUUUUUCUCCUGUGUAAGAGAAAGGAGAAGCAAUUAACCCUACAACAUGCAGAGGCCUGAUGAGAUCAUCUCUCCUACAAUCUGACUACAAUUGGUACCCCUGGGGACAGGUAAAAGAGUGAGGAGCAUUGUGCAGUGAAUGUUUGUUUUCUAAAUGUCCUACACCUGUCUAUUUCUCAGGUGAUUAAGUAAAGAAAUAAUGUGUUUGAUUCUGGUCAAAGAGUCUGUAAGAGCUAUAUGCUUCACAACUGCAAUGUGUCUCUGUGUCUAGACUAUGGAGUUUUUCUGGGAUACUGGAGGUAUCCCGGAAAAACUCUGCUGCAUCCAAGGAAUGCAUCUGCUCUUCCAACAUUUUUUGCAGAAGAGCAGACACGCUCUUUCAGAAACCCCGUCUUUCUCAUGCCACGAAGAAGAAGGGCUCUUCCAAAAGAGGAGGUUUUUCUGAAAUUUGGCCCACUGUACACGGGCCAAAUUUUGGAAAAGCCUCUUCCGACAAAACUAUCGGAAAAAGGUGUGCAAUUUGCGUAACUUUUUCUGAUAAAAAGUGGCAGUCUAGACAUAGCCUGAGAGAGUUAAAUGGUAACUCAGAAAACACUCAUUUUUGCUGAGCUUCCAGAAGUAUAUGAGCUACAGAGCAGUCAGAAGGGUCAGUGUUCCAGGAAGCUUGACAUCAGUGUUCAGCUCUCAACCAGGGGAUAUGAGAAAGACGGCCUUUACCUCAAGUACAGGAGCGGCCCGAGGCGGGCUGCGGCAGCUGGCGCCCCAGGUGGAACGUGCGAUCAGCGCCCCCGCCUGCACAGCCGUCAAUGGAAUGACGUCAUCGGGCGCCCUGUUGAAGGCGGCACCCUAGGUGACGGCCGAGUCAGCCUAUAGUCACGGGCCGCCCCUGCUCAAGUAUGUGUCUAGGGGCAGCAGCUCAGCUCCAGUCAGGUUCUGGAAACUUCCACCGACAGCAGUUCUGGGCCUCUGGGCAGAAAUCUGUGGGCCCCCUGCUUCUCUGGCUAGGCCAGGGCCACAAACCCUGCCUCCAGCCUCACAGAAGCCCCAAGCACACUCCCCUUUGCCAGAGGAGGCCUGAGUCAGCCCAGCCCCCCACCUGUUUGGAAAAGCUCUAGGAAAGGUAUGCCACACCGUUCCUCUCUUCCCCGGACCCAAUCUAUCUACUUUGGGCAAAGCCACAGAAGUGUUUCUUGAUUGAAAGACACUUUUGACACACUUGCAGGUUCUGGGCCCAGUAACUCCACCCUGGAACCUGUAAGGGGCAUAUCAAAAGCCUUUUUCCAUCAAGACACACUUUGUGGCAGCAACCCGGGGUGGGGAGGGGGGGUGGAAAUGUGUCCGCAGGUCUUUUUAAAUUGCUGGGCCCCUGGGCAGUUGUCUCUUUUGCUCCUCCAGUGGCAGGCCUGAUACCAUCUUAUCCUCCAGAGCCACUACUCAUUUGUAUGAAAUAUACAUAAUUAGUAGUAGUAUAGACUGGAAUCUUCCUUGGUACAUUAACAACUGUAAUUGUAGUCAUCAAUAAAAGCCUGCAGCUGAUCAACUUUGAUUGAGCUUGCCUAGAAAGUGCAGAGAAACUGCAGUCAGAGGCUCCUUUUUAAAUACUUUGGUACCUGUUCUGAAGAUACAUUUUACAGCUUUGUGGAGGGAAGUGGAUGCUUUAGCCAUGCAGUUCCUAUUAGCAACAGUUUUGGAAAGCCUAGUGUACCAUGGUGAAAACUUAGCCUCUAAGGCUUCAUAUUUUAUAAUUCAGUCACCAGUGGGCUGGGACAUACCUUCCUCCCUCCCCCCCAUACAAUGACAGAAUCUUAAAGGAAAAUCUUGGUUUAGCUGCAAAGGUUGGUAAAGGCUAGGUAACAGGGAGUAUACCGAGUCUGGAACCUGGGUGCACUGUGGCUGCACUUCCCAGGGGUUGUUGGUACUGGCUCAGGCCCGCUAAUGUAGUGGUUUACAAACUCUGGGUUGUAAACCAUUACUGGUUCAUGGAAUGUCAGGCACUGGGUCACAUUGCUGCAGGUGGUGAGGUGUCAAAUGGGGGUGCUAAGGCAAGCUGCCUACCUGUCCUGCAGUGCAAACUGCACUGCGCCCCAAAAGAAGGCCCAGCUCCUAGGAGUGCAUGGUGGAAGCACACAGGACUCUGUGCACUAUCCCUGCCUCGAGCACUAGCUCCACUCUCCCAUUGGCUGGCAACCUGCUGCUGGCUGCUUCUGGGGCGCAGCAUGGUCUGCAGUGCCAGGAGAGGCAGGAAGCCUGCCUUAGCACCCCUGCUUCCCUGCUGACCAGGAGUUGCUCAAGGUUUCACCCCAUUGUGCUCCAGCCCAGACACCCAAAGCCUGAACCCCCUCCUACACGCCAAAGCUCUUAUCCUCAGUCCCACCCAGAGCCCACACUCUAAUCAAAUUAUGUUGGGCACAGGCAUGAACAAUUUUCUUCAAUUGGGUGAUAAGAAAAAAAACAACUUACUUUCACCUUUGACUAAAUUACAGAAUUGUUGGUCAGUUUGUGAAGUUUCAGGUCACUAUAAUGGAGUGUCAUACAGUGUCAUACAGCCAUUAAAUCAUGCAACUGAAGAGAAUAUAUAGCAUUUAACAAUUUUAUUAAAAAGUGUACCAGUUAUUAGAAAAAAUUCCAAGUAUUAAAAAGCACCAGAGAGAAAGCACAAAGCAAAUAUACUGCACAGAUACAAAAAAGGAGCUAUUCCCAGUCACCACCACUACAGGCAGGAGUCCUGGAGGCACACAGCCAAGAUAAACAAAAUGCUACAUUCUCACUGGGUCUCAGUCCAUGGCAGAGAGGGCAUGUGCACUUCAGGACUAGUCUAGACAAAGAUUUCACAGGAGAGCAUCGGCUGCACUUCUUCAGCGGGAAGAACGUAAGAUUCAUUUAGUAUGGACAGGCUCCAUGAAUGCAUAAGAGCAUUUUUAACAAUAUACUGAGAAUUUCUCUCCUCUUCAUCCCUUUGACUCUACAAGGUAGCCACUGGUGGCAAUUAAUUACUUCAGUGUUUAAAAAUGAUCUCUGACAAGAGUAGAAAAGUCCAAUGGAAGAUGAAGCUGCCCAUCGAUACAGUAUGCUCAUCUACGGAUCUUUAGAGAGAAAUUGCAGGGGGGAUCUGUAUAUAUUGCUAUCAUCACAGAAGGAGAGGAAGAGGAUUUAAGGGGGGGGCAGGGAAAUACAUGUCCCAAGUUGUAGGGGCAUUUUUUAAAGUAGUCUUAAUUUUGGGUACCCAAAGUUCAUAUUUAGUAUCAGGGUUUUCAAAAUCACCUCUUUUGGGUGCCUUUGGAAAUACCCCACUAGGAACCUAUGUAGUAAGCACCCAUUUAGUAAGAUCUUGGCCAUGUUUGUCUUCAUACAACUAUAACACAGUGAGAAGAGAGGGGUAUUACAUCCUCUUUCCACACUCAACUUUUCCUUUCCUAGUAAUCUAACCAAACUGGAGUGGUCUUCUGAGGGGUACAGGCCUACAUUUGUCUCUCUGGAGCUGAGGAAUGUGGCGAUGCUCUCCUGAGGAUAAAUCUGCAAAUCAGGGAGACUCCACUUGAUUUUUAAAGAUAACUUUAUACAUGCAAAUUUUCAUAAUAAAAUUUAAAACAGUUUAAAGACCUACCCUUCCCAUCUCCUCCCUCCAUCCCCCAAAGGCAGCAAAUAGUCUGAAGACAGAACUGAAAAAAAAUGGCUUUUUAAAAACUCCACAGAUUUUAGUUUCACUUCCCAGAAACCAACUUCCAGCAUGGGAUUCAGAGGAAGAGAUCCUUCCUUCUGUGGGGGAAGGGGUUGUGAGUUGUGGAAGAAAGAAGGGAGGAUGUUAAGACUGCAUUUUUAUAUAAACACACACACACACACACACACACACACACACACACACACACACACACACACACACACACACACACACAAUUACAUUCCAGUGCAUUUGAUGUGUUUGGUCUUUUUCUGCUUUUCCUUAUGGGUAAGAACUAAGUUGUGUGCUACCUGUGUGAACAUGUACAAAACCAAAGAAACAAUGACCAUAAAAGCUUUUUAAGAACUGUAAGAGCUCUUGGACAAUCUCUCACCAAUUCCUUGAGGUAUUUUUUUAAAUUUCCGAAACAAAUCAAAAGCAACAGAGAGGUGUAUUUUUUUAAAUGAUCACAAUUUAAAAAUAAUAUUCUCUGAAAUGGUUAUGAAUAGCUUUGCUAUCAACUCGAUACUCUGUAGCAUUUGACAAACAUGCAGAACUCCCAUUAAUAGGCACUGAAGAGUUUAAUCAAGAGCAUUGUAGGGCCUCUAGUUCAUGAGCUCAAAACAUCCAGUUAAGGUUGCUCAUAGUCAUAUGAGCCUUCCCUUUAACCAAAAUAGGACUGUUAGUAAAACCACCCCUUGAAUGUACCUGAUAUGUUCCAAUAUUACCACUUCUACCCCAUUCACUGGAAAGCAUAGUAGGUGCUACUGAAGAUCAACAAAGGAAGGGUUAAAGUGAAUCAAAGUGACUUUGCAGAGUUUAGACUUCAGGUUGCAGCAACUGCCUAGAGCCUUUAUUUUACCUCCAGCUAGUUUAUUAGAAUCCAGAACCUGCAAUUUCCCAAAGGGAAAGGGCAACCUUCCUCUUCCCAUGAGCCAAAUUCAUCUGUGGUGUAACUUCAUUGAUGGAAAUGGAAUUAUACUGGUAUGAAGUGGCAUCAAUGCAUCUAAAUCUGGUUACAUCUCAGAUGGUUUUAUUCAGCCUUGGUUCAAGCACAAAGGAGCUUCCUCUUCACCAGCCCAGUGUGGAUAUAGGCACAGUUUAAAAAGGAAAGGUUGAGGAGAACAUUUCACUGAAGGGCCAAUUUCUCAACUAGAAUUCCAGCCGUCCAGAACAUUGACAAGUAUUAAGCUAUGCUUCAGAUGGCAGCAGAAGACAGGCAUACUUGUUACAAUGGGAAAAUUGCAAUAGAAUACAAUACCCCCUAGAAACUAACAAAAUGAUAGCAGUUAAUACAUGCAAUAAGAAGUCUACUGCUAGCACCUUGAGAGAAGCCUGCAGUCCAACAUCCAUUUCCAGUGUCAGCCCUUUCUAUUGGAAGUCCAUUCCCUUGUCUACCUCCAUUUUAUCCUAGCUAUGGCAGUUUGCAGCUAACCUUGGGCAAUCACUUCGUGAAUUACUGGCUCAGCCUUCAUGAAUUGCAGGAAACAAAGUAAGAUAAACUAACAUCCACUAACACCAGGCUAAAAGGAUCCAGGUAUGGUUUGGGUUAUAAGAGACACAAGGGAGAUAUUGAAAUAAAUUCUCUCCUCUCUCAGGUCAAGAAUGUCAGGAUCAAGCCAUUUUGGCAAUCAUGGAAAGGGAGGUGUACUUCAAAUACAGGCAGUCCCCGGGUUACGUACAAGAUAAGAACAAACCUACAGUCCCUAAGUUGAAUCUGUAUGUAAGUCGGAACUGGC